This 432-nucleotide ribosomal RNA is filed under the name uncultured bacterium. RNAcentral's name for it is "partial 16S ribosomal RNA". It matches the Rfam family "Bacterial small subunit ribosomal RNA", at positions 29 to 507 of the family's 1533-position model. The record is from RNAcentral.
ACGAACGCUGGCGGCAUGCCUAACACAUGCAAGUCGAACGAGACCUUCGGGUCUAGUGGCGCACGGGUGCGUAACGCGUGGGAACCUGCCCUUAGGUUCGGAAUAACUCCCCGAAAGGGGUGCUAAUACCGGAUAAUGUCUUCGGACCAAAGAUUUAUCGCCUUUGGAUGGGCCCGCGUUGGAUUAGCUAGUUGGUAGGGUAAAAGCCUACCAAGGCGACGAUCCAUAGCUGGUCUGAGAGGAUGAUCAGCCACACUGGGACUGAGACACGACCCAGACUCCUACGGGAGGCAGCAGUGGGGAAUAUUGGACAAUGGGCGAAAGCCUGAUCCAGCAAUGCCGCGUGAGUGAUGAAGGCCUUAGGGUUGUAAAGCUCUUUUACCCGGGAUGAUAAUGACAGUACCGGGAGAAUAAGCUCCGGCUAACUCCGUG